GAUACCCUACUAUACUAAAAAUUAAUAUGCAUAAAUGUAGCUAGAUUAUUAUAAGAUAUGUUCUUUAAAUUUAAAGAAUUUGGCGGUGAUUUAGUCUGGUCAGAGGAACCUGUUUUUUAAUCGAUAAUCCACGGAGAAUCUUACUCAUUUUAAAAAGUUUGUAUACCGUCAUUAGCAGAUAAUUUUUAAGAGAAAUAAUUGUUGCAAUUUAUAAAUAUUAUUUAAAUUAGAUCAAGGUGCAGCUUAUAAGUGAGUUAAAAUGGGUUACAAUAAAUUUUAUUUAAAACGGAAAAAUCUAGGAAGAAAUAUAGGGUUUAAAGGAGGAUUUGAUUGUAAUAUAAAUUUAAUAUGUUUAGGAGAUAUAAGCUCUAAAUUAUGUACAU
Molecule: ribosomal RNA, 383 nt
Filed under: Euryozius camachoi
Lineage: Eukaryota; Metazoa; Arthropoda; Malacostraca; Decapoda; Pseudoziidae
Description: partial 12S ribosomal RNA
Source: RNAcentral